This is a long non-coding RNA of Wasmannia auropunctata (little fire ant), 373 nucleotides long. RefSeq lists it as uncharacterized. The transcript has 4 exons. Lineage: Eukaryota; Metazoa; Arthropoda; Insecta; Hymenoptera; Formicidae. The record is from RefSeq and is a predicted model, not a curated record.
AGGAGAAACGUAGAGAUCCAACGAUGAAAAAUACACAGUGAAGACAAAUCAGUCGCAUUUGGAGAUGAAUAAGUAUCUUAGGCACUAGAUCACAGUUUGCGUCUCCGCACUGGCAGGCAUGCACCAAUGACUGAAUGCAUUCCUGUAUCGAUAAUCUCCUGGCCGCCUAUAUUGCAGAAAAGGAAAAGACCUGCAGGUUGCCCUCCGGUUAGUGCACUCGAUUGAGGUUGAACUAGACUUGGUGCUGGUGUUUGCGCUGCCAUUCUGCCCUCAUCCUGUUCACCUAUGAUGUUCGUAAUGCCCAUCGGGCCGGUGGUACCGUUUCAGACUGCCGAGCACGUGAAGUGCAGAGCAUGCAUGAUGCAAGUCGUAA